CUUGUUGUCUCGUUCAAGAUCUUCUUGCUGCUAAUGCUUCGGACUGUGCCAGACUCUGUUCAAACUGAGUAUUUAAGAGUAGUUAACUUCGAGCUUACUGUCCAUGACUGAGAGUAUAGUUGUGGGAUUCGUUGGCCAAGUUUUUGGUCGAUGGAGGAAGAACCAGAAGACAGGAAAAGUCAAACUGGGAGAAAACCAAAGAAAAGAACAGAAGAAAACAUUCAGAACCAUCAAAGGUGAAGCUCCAGCUGUUUCCAGAAGAUGAAGGCAGCAUGAACAUCUGCAAG
This is a long non-coding RNA of Amphiprion ocellaris (clown anemonefish), 287 nucleotides long. RefSeq lists it as uncharacterized. The transcript has 3 exons. The record is from RefSeq and is a predicted model, not a curated record. Lineage: Eukaryota; Metazoa; Chordata; Actinopteri; Pomacentridae.